This 253-nucleotide ribosomal RNA is filed under the name uncultured bacterium. Its description in RNAcentral is "partial 16S ribosomal RNA". It matches the Rfam family "Bacterial small subunit ribosomal RNA", at positions 524 to 776 of the family's 1533-position model. The record is from RNAcentral.
UACGAAGGGGGCUAGCGUUGCUCGGAAUUACUGGGCGUAAAGCGUGCGCAGGCGGCUAUGCAAGACAGAUGUGAAAUCCCCGGGCUCAACCUGGGAACUGCAUUUGUGACUGCAUAGCUAGAGUACGGUAGAGGGGGAUGGAAUUCCGCGUGUAGCAGUGAAAUGCGUAGAUAUGCGGAGGAACACCGAUGGCGAAGGCAAUCCCCUGGAUCUGUACUGACGCUCAUGCACGAAAGCGUGGGGAGCAAACAGG